UGGGGAAUUUUGGACAAUGGGCGAAAGCCUGAUCCAGCAAUGCCGCGUGUGUGAAGAAGGCCUUCGGGUUGUAAAGCACUUUUGUCCGGAAAGAAAUCCUUGGCUCUAAUACAGCCGGGGGAUGACGGUACCGGAAGAAUAAGCACCGGCUAACUACGUGCCAGCAGCCGCGGUAAUACGUAGGGUGCAAGCGUUAAUCGGAAUUACUGGGCGUAAAGCGUGCGCAGGCGGUUUGCUAAGACCGAUGUGAAAUCCCGGGCUCAACCUGGGAACUGCAUUGGUGACUGGCAGGCUAGAGUAUGGCAGAGGGGGGUAGAAUUCCACGUGUAGCAGUGAAAUGCGUAGAGAUGUGGAGGAAUACCGAUGGCGAAGGCAGCCCCCUGGGCCAAUACUGACGCUCAUGCACGAAAGCGUGGGGAGCAAACAGGAUUAGAUACCCUGGUAGUCCACGCCCUAAACGAUGUCAACUAGUUGUUGGGGAUUCAUUUCCUAGUAACGUAGCUAACGCGUGAAGUUGACCGCCUGGGGAGUACGGUCGCAAGAUUAAAACUCAAAGGAAUUGACGGGGUCAUAGCUGUUUCCU
RNAcentral lists this ribosomal RNA (583 nucleotides) under uncultured bacterium. RNAcentral's name for it is "partial 16S ribosomal RNA". It matches the Rfam family "Bacterial small subunit ribosomal RNA", at positions 355 to 1375 of the family's 1533-position model. The record is from RNAcentral.